CAGUGAGGAGGAGGGCAGAGGGCGCAUCUCAGCCCUGCUGCUCAGCCCUGUUUCCUUGGGCACAGCAGUUUGCUUCCCCGAGUGUGUUCCUGCCUCUGAAAUGUGGGUCUCAGCGCCUAGAGGGCCCCUCCCAGGAGAGGUCAAGGCACCGGGUAUGAGGUAGUCAGCACAGCACAGCACCAGCCUCCUGGAGCAAGUUCCCAACUUUAUUUCUACUUUUCCCGAGACAUCAGGGGGACCUGGCCCCACUGGGACAGGCAGGGCCUCCUGCUGCCCUCCCACCCAAAGCAGGCCCCUAGACCUGCACGGGGUGGGGGUGCGGGCGUCCAGCUCGCUCACUGCCAUCCCUAGAGACUUUCUUGACCCUGAACAGCCCUCACCAGGGAGGCCAGCAGCUGAAGGACAGGAGUGGGGAUCGGCUGAAGGAAGACAAUCAGGGUGGCCCCAAAGACCCUUCCCACCUUCCAGGGCCUCCUCGGGCCAGGGGGCGGGGUCUGAGUAGAGGCCAAGUUCCUGGGGAGAGCAGGAAGGGGACCUCCACGACACCGCCGUUCUUGGGCCACUUGCUGCUGGUCGCCGAGAACAGCCGGAAGGGACUCUGGGGAGAGAGGGCGGCUUGGGGAGCAGCCGGCAAAGCUUCCCGCCCCGAGGCUGCCACCCCUCAGGCCCCAGGAGCCCUCAAGAUGCGCGCAGUGAGGGUGGCUGCUCAUCAGAGAAGGGACAGAAACCGGGGGGUCGGUGGCCAGCUGUGUGACGCGCAGCACAACCCUUUGUUCUAGAGAAAGAAGUUGCCACUUACUCUAUCAGGGAGAGAAACCCAGGAAACGCAGUAAUGUUUAUCUUUUUGCCAGUUUUUCUAAAUGUCCUGUGGACAUCUGAUAACAACAUAUGAGAUACAAAAUUUUAAACAAUUUGUGUAGGGUAUGAUUAAUAAAAUUAAAUAUUAAUCUAUUAUAUUUAAAUUAUUAAUGAUAUCAUUCAAGAUCCUAAUUUUUCUGCACUUGAUAAAAUAUUCUCAGACAUGUUAAUAUGUCUCACUAUGAUCAUAUAUUGUUCUUUUUCCCUCAUAUUUCUUCUGACUUUUGCUUUAUGUAUCUUUGUUUCUUUGUUUGUUAAGGUAUCUAAUGGUUUAUGACAUCUAUCUUUUUUGUGAGUUGUACCUUUUAU
Molecule: long non-coding RNA, 1167 nt
Filed under: Capra hircus (goat)
Lineage: Eukaryota; Metazoa; Chordata; Mammalia; Artiodactyla; Bovidae
Description: lncRNA (ENSCHIG00010011663.1)
Source: RNAcentral